GAUCCUGGCUCAGGAUGAACGCUAGCGACAGGCCUAACACAUGCAAGUCGAGGGGCAGCAUGAAAUUAGCUUGCUAAUUUUGAUGGCGACCGGCGCACGGGUGAGUAACACGUAUGCAACCUGCCUGUAAGCGGGGGAUAACCCAGAGAAAUCUGGACUAAUACCGCAUAAUAUCAUAGUUUCGCAUGUUACUAUGAUUAAAGAUUUAUUGCUUACAGAUGGGCAUGCGUCUGAUUAGCUAGUUGGUGAGGUAACGGCCCACCAAGGCGACGAUCAGUAGCCGGACUGAGAGGUUGACCGGCCACAUUGGGACUGAGAUACGGCCCAGACUCCUACGGGAGGCAGCAGUGGGGAAUAUUGGGCAAUGGGCGCAAGCCUGACCCAGCAACGCCGCGUGAAGGAAGAAGGCUUUCGGGUUGUAAACUUCUUUUGUCAGGGACGAACAAAUGACGGUACCUGACGAAUAAGCCACGGCUAACUACGUG
RNAcentral lists this ribosomal RNA (485 nucleotides) under uncultured bacterium. Its description in RNAcentral is "bacterial SSU rRNA". It matches the Rfam family "Bacterial small subunit ribosomal RNA", at positions 15 to 507 of the family's 1533-position model. The record is from RNAcentral.